RNAcentral lists this ribosomal RNA (489 nucleotides) under uncultured bacterium. RNAcentral's name for it is "partial 16S ribosomal RNA". It matches the Rfam family "Bacterial small subunit ribosomal RNA", at positions 30 to 507 of the family's 1533-position model. The record is from RNAcentral.
AUUGAACGCUGGCGGCAGGCCUAACACAUGCAAGUCGAACGGUAACAGGAAGAAGCUUGCUUCUUUGCUGACGAGUGGCGGACGGGUGAGUAAUGUCUGGGAAACUGCCUGAUGGAGGGGGAUAACUACUGGAAACGGUAGCUAAUACCGCAUAACGUCGCAAGACCAAGAGGGGGACCUUCCGGCCUCUUGCCAUCGGAUUUGCCCAGAUGGGAUUAGCUAGUAGGUGGGGUAACGGCUCACCUAGGCGACGAUCCCUAGCUGGUCUGAGAGGAUGACCAGCCACACUGGAACUGAGACACGGUCCAGACUCCUACGGGAGGCAGCAGUGGGGAAUAUUGCACAAUGGGCGCAAGCCUGAUGCAGCCAUGCCGCGUGUAUGAAGAAGGCCUUCGGGUUGUAAAGUACUUUCAGCGGGGAGGAAGGGAGUAAAGUUAAUACCUUUACUCAUUGACGUUACCCGCAGAAGAAGCACCGGCUAACUCCGUG